UAGGGAAUCUUCGGCAAUGGACGAAAGUCUGACCGAGCAACGCCGCGUGAGUGAAGAAGGUUUUCGGAUCGUAAAACUCUGUUGUUAGAGAAGAACAAGGACGUUAGUAACUGAACGUCCCCUGACGGUAUCUAACCAGAAAGCCACGGCUAACUACGUGCCAGCAGCCGCGGUAAUACGUAGGUGGCAAGCGUUGUCCGGAUUUAUUGGGCGUAAAGCGAGCGCAGGCGGUUUCUUAAGUCUGAUGUGAAAGCCCCCGGCUCAACCGGGGAGGGUCAUUGGAAACUGGGAGACUUGAGUGCAGAAGAGGAGAGUGGAAUUACAUGGGUAGCGGUGAAAUGAGUAGAUAUAUGGAGGAACACCAGUGGCGAAGGCGACUCUCUGGUCUGUAACUGACGCUGAGGCUCGAAAGCGUGGGGAGCAAACAGG
This 429-nucleotide ribosomal RNA is filed under the name Chloroflexota bacterium. RNAcentral describes it as "Chloroflexi bacterium partial 16S ribosomal RNA". It matches the Rfam family "Bacterial small subunit ribosomal RNA", at positions 355 to 776 of the family's 1533-position model. The record is from RNAcentral. Lineage: Bacteria; Bacillati; Chloroflexota.